Molecule: ribosomal RNA, 377 nt
Filed under: uncultured eukaryote
Lineage: Eukaryota
Description: partial 18S ribosomal RNA
Rfam family: Eukaryotic small subunit ribosomal RNA
Source: RNAcentral
CAAUAGCGUAUAUUUAAGUUGCUGCAGUUAAAAAGCUCGUAGUUGGAUUUCGGGUGGGAAUGGCCGGUCCGCCGUUUCGGUGUGCACUUGCUACGCCCACCUUGCUGCCGGGGACGUGCUCUUGAGUUCACGCUCGGGACACGGAGUCGGCGAGGUUACUUUGAGUAAAUUAGAGUGUUCAAAGCAGGCCUACGCUUUGAAUACAUUAGCAUGGAAUAACACGAUAGGACUCUGGCCUAUCUUGUUGGUCUGUAGGACCGGAGUAAUGAUUAAGAGGGACAGUCGGGGGCAUUCGUAUUUCAUUGUCAGAGGUGAAAUUCUUGGAUUUAUGAAAGACGAACUACUGCGAAAGCAUUUGCCAAGGAUGUUUUCAUUAA